Molecule: ribosomal RNA, 462 nt
Filed under: uncultured bacterium
Lineage: Bacteria
Description: partial 16S ribosomal RNA
Rfam family: Bacterial small subunit ribosomal RNA
Source: RNAcentral
GAUGAACGCUGGCGGCGUGCUUAACACAUGCAAGUCGAACGGACAGGCGCUUCGGGGGAUUCUCGUGGGGUAGCGGCGAGUGACAGGGUGACGAUUUGAUAUGCACCUUAGGAUACGGCGAGGACUCUGGGACUAAUAACGUAUAAGCUGAUAAGCUUCAUAACCGGAGGGGGAAAGCUUUUGCGGCGUGGGUUGGGUCCGCGGCCUAUCAGCUCGUUGGUGGGGUAAUGGCCUACCAAGGCGACGACGGGUAGCCGGCCUGAGAGGGUGACCGGCCACACUGGGACUGAGAUACGGCCCAGACUCCUACGGGAGGCAGCAGUGGGGAAUAUUGCACAAUGGGCGCAAGCCUGAUGCAGCGACGCCGCGUGAGGGAUGACGGCCUUCGGGUUGUAAACCUCUUUCAGCACAGACGAAGCGCAAGUGACGGUAUGUGCAGAAGAAGGACCGGCCAACUACGUG